CUACCUCUGAUCAACAUGCCUUCAUUUCCAUGUGCCAAAGUCCUAUUGGAAAAAGGAAGCACAGUAUGCCACACAAAGACACUACGCCGUGCAAGAAGAAGUGCCGAAGUCAUCCCAGCCAUAGAAGGCAUUCUCUUUGUAGUGAGGAAAAAACUGGUCCAAGCAAGAACAGGGGACUCCUGGCUGAAAACCAGGAAUCUAACUCCCCAAAUGGAGACAAAUCUUCGGGUCAGACUUUACUUGGCACUGUCUCAUCUCCAGGGCACAACAUCUUCAAUGUAACAGCAAAUUCCUCCUCAGAUCAUAAACAGCCAAUGCCAAGGAAGCGGCGAAAUGAUAGUGCUCGAGUGGCAGCUUUGAGAGAGAAGCUCAUACAGAAGAAUAGAACCAUCAACAAACUCAGGAUGCAAGUCAAAAGAUCAAAGCAUCCCAAAUCAGCCUCGCUCUCUGCUCGAGAAAUCGUUGCUGCAGUUUAGCGUAAAGUAAGGUCAUGUUUGAUCCGAUGAAGCAAUUGCUAUGUUGAUUUUGCAGAGAGGCACUGAGGGGUGAGAGUAGAGAAUAGAGGAAUAAUGAGUUACCUACUCAGGCAUUUUUCUCUCUAAGAAACUGAAAAUUCAGUGUUAGGUACUUUAAUAAUUAUGGCACUAUCAGAACUGCCAAGUCCUUAAAGUAGUUAAGUAGGCACAUAGUUGCAUUUGAUAAAGAGAAGUUUUUAAGUAACUGGACCUCCCAUAUCUAGGCAAAAGAGGACUCUAAUGUUGAAUAAGAGGAGAUAAUAUGAGCCAAAGAUAGUGUUUUGGGAUGGAGACUAAGAUGAGGUGAAUGAAUAAUGAAAUGCUAUAACAGACAGCAAUUUUAUUGAAUGGCGCUCAUACAGUCAUCAGCUCGAGAUUAAAUAUCUGUGUGCUAGCUCUUCCCUGAAAUAUAGGUAGUGUAAUUUAAAAUUUUAAAGUUGUAGGUUCCUCUGAUGAAACACUGGUAAGGCAUUGAAUUAUUUUUGUUUUUCCUCCCAAUUUAUUAUCAUAAUCAAUCGUAAUGAAUAUAAUUCAAAAUCGAUAAAUCAACUUGAUAACUUUUGUAAGUCUAUGUUUUAUACUCAGUGCUGUAAGGUGUCACAGGAAAGAGAAUAAGUGGAAGGAAGGAGAAAAAAACCCUUGAAAACCCCCAUGAAAGGGCCCUUCUGGCUCCUAAAAAGGUCCCUUCAAAAGACCUCUCUUCUCACAGUAGCUGGGACGUUCUUCAAAGGCCCCCUGAAAAUAAAAAUGGCCUCAAAAAUGAGCCAUUUAAAAAGUUUCCUCUUGACACAGUAUGACCUAAGUACCAUUUUAAAAUGCCCCCAUUUUGUGACUCUAAUUAUAUUUUUUGGCUUUGAUUUUCUUACAUAGUUGUGUGGACUCAGCACUGUUCUAUAUCUUGUUAAAUAUUGUGACAUUUAUUACAAUAUCUGUUAAAGCUGAGCUGUGGCGUAAACAAAGUUAGAUAUACUUGUGGGAGGUCCGAGAGUUAAUUUUAUUCUUCCUGCGAAUAGAAUUGAACAGCCAUGCAUAGUCAUAAAUGUACAGGUGGAGAAGGUUGCCUCUCUCAAGCCUCCCCUUGCUAUGCCCAUGGCUGCAGAAUCAAAGCAAAGGUGUAAACGAAAUGUUCAAUCUUAUUAAAAAUCUUACUGUGAGGCAGAACAUCUGUUUUAUGUAUUGUCGUUUUUAUUCUUACUCUUUAUCGUUUUUAAAUCUUAUAUUAUUCUUGUAAGAUUCAAUUUUUGUAAAUAAAAAUAUUUAUAAUGGGUAGUUCAUUGUGUAUUCUUGACAGAGAACAUUGUACCUAGUGAAAAAUUAUGUAAUGAAAUACAGGGUGUUUCAUACCACCCGUACCAGACCUUUUUCUCGGUUGUUUUAGGUCGUACGAAGUCGGGGACCGCGGGGUUGAAUAGGGAAUCGACCCCAAGGAAUCCGAAUUUUGUGGUCCCGAAACCCCCCCACCCCCCCCUUGGGGGGUAAAGGGGGGGUCACGAUGCUAAAAGUCACGGUUUCCGACCGAAUUGCGGAUAAAUCGCAUCAGAAUUGAAAAGCACGAAAAAUUUCACGUGAAAUUGACCCCUAAAAAUCCAAAAUCGGCCCAUCUAAGACCCAAAAAUGAUCUCCUAAAGAGGGGGACAGUACCCCCCUCCAUAAUUUCUCUUUGGUCUCAAAAUUGACGUAGAUUCUCCAGAAAAAGACGGUUUCCCAGGUAAUCGACCCCGAGAAAGCCAAAUUUCAUGGUCCCGAAGCUCCUGUAGCCCCCCCUGGGGGGUAAACGGGGGGGCCCCAAAUUUUUAGAAUCGGGGCUCCUUUCCGAAUCGCAAAUUGAUUGCAUCCAAAUUGAGGAGCAGAACACAUUUACAUCUUAAGUGACCCUCAAGAGUUCUAAUUGACCCCCCUGAACGGCAGAAAGUAAGCCCCUGAGGAGGGGGGCUACGCCCCCUCCAAAAAUUUCUCAAGAUUCCUCUUUGGUCGCAAAAUUGACGUCGAUUCUCUAGAAAAAGACGGUUUCCCAGAUAAUCAACCCCGAGGAGCUCAGGGACCAUGAAAUUCAGAGUCCUCGGGGU
Molecule: long non-coding RNA, 2581 nt
Filed under: Bemisia tabaci
Lineage: Eukaryota; Metazoa; Arthropoda; Insecta; Hemiptera; Aleyrodidae
Description: lncRNA ENSSSA1UGG007300
Source: RNAcentral